AUCCAGCUGACGAGUCCCGAAUAGGACGAAGCGCGCGUCCUGGAU
RNAcentral lists this non-coding RNA (45 nucleotides) under Schistosoma mansoni. The record is from RNAcentral. Lineage: Eukaryota; Metazoa; Platyhelminthes; Trematoda; Strigeidida; Schistosomatidae.